AUUGAACGCUGGCGGCAUGCCUUACACAUGCAAGUCGAACGGUAACAGGUCUUCGGAUGCUGACGAGUGGCGAACGGGCGAGUAAUACAUCGGAACGUGCCUAGUAGUGGGGGAUAACUACUCGAAAGAGGGGCGAAUACCGCAUGAGAUCUACGGAUGAAAGCAGGGGAUCGCAAGACCUUGUGCUACUGGUGCGGCCGGUGGCGGAUUAGGUGGUUGGUGGGAUAAAAGCUUACCAAGCCGACGAUCUGUAGCUGGACUGAGAGGACGAUAAGCCACACUGGGGAUGAGACACGGCCCAGACUGCUACGGGAGGCAGCAGUGGGGAAUUUUGGACAAUGGGCGCAAGCCUGAUCCAGCAAUGCCGCGUGCAGGAUAAAGGCCUUCGGGUUGUAAACUGCUUUUGUACGGAACGAAAAGCCCUGGGUUAAUACCCUGGGGUCAUGACGGUACCGUAAGAAUAAGCACCGGCUAACUACGUGCCAGCCGCCGCCGUAA
This 498-nucleotide ribosomal RNA is filed under the name uncultured bacterium. RNAcentral describes it as "partial 16S ribosomal RNA". It matches the Rfam family "Bacterial small subunit ribosomal RNA", at positions 30 to 523 of the family's 1533-position model. The record is from RNAcentral.